Molecule: ribosomal RNA, 861 nt
Filed under: uncultured bacterium
Lineage: Bacteria
Description: bacterial SSU rRNA
Rfam family: Bacterial small subunit ribosomal RNA
Source: RNAcentral
AGAGUUUGAUCCUGGCUCAGAGCGAACGCUGGCGACAGGCCUAACACAUGCAAGUCGAACGAAGUCUUCGGACUUAGUGGCGGACGGGUGAGUAACACGUGGGAACGUGCCUUUAGGUUCGGAAUAACUCAGGGAAACUUGUGCUAAUACCGAAUGUGCCCUUCGGGGGAAAGAUUUAUCGCCUUUAGAGCGGCCCGCGUCUGAUUAGCUAGUUGGUGAGGUAAAGGCUCACCAAGGCGACGAUCAGUAGCUGGUCUGAGAGGAUGAUCAGCCACACUGGGACUGAGACACGGCCCAAACUCCUACGGGAGGCAGCAGUGGGGAAUCUUGCGCAAUGGGCGAAAGCCUGACGCAGCCAUGCCGCGUGAAUGAUGAAGGUCUUAGGAUUGUAAAAUUCUUUCACCGGGGACGAUAAUGACGGUACCCGGAGAAGAAGCCCCGGCUAACUUCGUGCCAGCAGCCGCGGUAAUACGAAGGGGGCUAGCGUUGCUCGGAAUUACUGGGCGUAAAGGGAGCGUAGGCGGACAUUUAAGUCAGGGGUGAAAUCCCGGGGCUCAACCUCGGAAUUGCCUUUGAUACUGGGUGUCUUGAGUGUGAGAGAGGUAUGUGGAACUCCGAGUGUAGAGGUGAAAUUCGUAGAUAUUCGGAAGAACACCAGUGGCGAAGGCGACAUACUGGCUCAUUACUGACGCUGAGGCUCGAAAGCGUGGGGAGCAAACAGGAUUAGAUACCCUGGUAGUCCACGCCGUAAACGAUGAUUGCUAGUUGUCGGGAUGCAUGCAUUUCGGUGACGCAGCUAACGCAUUAAGCAAUCCGCCUGGGGAGUACGGUCGCAAGAUUAAAACUCAAAUGAAUUGACGG